AUACCGGUAAGUAAGGCUACUACGAGGAUAUGGAUUACUGCCGCGAAAUAGUGGAGACACUAUUAGCAGGUCUGAACAGUUGAUGUCGAAUCAAGGCAUCAAAUAAUGUAAUUUCACCGCCUCGCAGAGUUAAAGCUCAAACGGGA
Molecule: small RNA, 146 nt
Filed under: human gut metagenome
Description: M-box riboswitch (ykoK leader)
Rfam family: M-box riboswitch aptamer (ykoK leader)
About the family: M-box riboswitch, also know as ykoK leader is described as a metaloregulatory RNA that sense divalent metals and function as a genetic control element of genes related to divalent metal transport in bacteria. It was first reported upstream of the B.subtilis ykoK gene and genes with related functions in other bacteria. Phylogenetic analysis of the distribution of M-box RNAs across bacterial genomes revealed that M-box riboswitches are most often employed for the regulation of Mg2+ transporter genes
Source: RNAcentral